Molecule: ribosomal RNA, 855 nt
Filed under: uncultured bacterium
Lineage: Bacteria
Description: bacterial SSU rRNA
Rfam family: Bacterial small subunit ribosomal RNA
Source: RNAcentral
GCUCAGGAUGAACGCUGGCGGCGUGCCUAAUACAUGCAAGUCGAACGAGGUGCCUUUGUAGCAAUACGAGGGUAUCCUAGUGGCGAACGGGUGAGUAACGCGUUGGUGACCUGCCCCGAAGUGUGGGAUAACAGUCCGAAAGGACUGCUAAUACCGCAUGCGGCCAUCGGGUUUAGAAACCGAUGUCCAAAGCAGCAAUGCGCUUUGGGAGGGACCUGCGUCCCAUCAGCUAGUUGGUAGGGUAACGGCCUACCAAGGCGACGACGGGUAGGGGACCUGAGAGGGUGACCCCCCACAAUGGAACUGAAAUACGGUCCAUACACCUACGGGUGGCAGCAGUAGGGAAUAUUGCACAAUGGGCGAAAGCCUGAUGCAGCAACGCCGCGUGCACGAUGAAGGUCUUCGGAUCGUAAAGUGCUUUUCUGGGAGAUGAGAAAGGACAGUAUCCCAGGAAUAAGUCUCGGCUAACUACGUGCCAGCAGCCGCGGUAAAACGUAGGAGGCAAGCGUUAUCCGGAUUCACUGGGCGUAAAGCGCGUGCAGGCGGUUCGGUAAGUUGGGCGUGAAAUCUCCUGGCUUAACUGGGAGAGGCCGUCCAAUACUACCGGGCUAGAGAACAGUAGAGGAAGAUGGAAUUCCCGGUGUAGUGGUGAAAUGCGUAGAUAUCGGGAGGAACACCAGUGGCGAAGGCGAUCUUCUGGACUGUUUCUGACGCUCAUACGCGAAAGCUAGGGUAGUAAACGGGAUUAGAGACCCCGGUAAUCCUAGCCGUAAACGAUGUGAACUUGGCGUCGGUAGCUUAAACACUAUCGGUGCCGUAGCAAACGCGAUAAGUUCACCGCCUGGGGACUACGAU